CUCACCUGAGUUAGCCGUUUCCUGCUGAUCUUUUGUUUCCAAGACCCUGCUCCAGCAGCCCCUCUGGAGACUGAAAUCCCAGGCUCCUAGCAGCCACUUCCUGGCUAAUGGGGACCAAGCCCAAUCAUUCUCCUUUUUCAGGCCUUGUCAGGAGGCCUGCACGCAGAGGGGGCUGGGGGCGGGGAGCUCCGGAGGAGCGGAGCGUGGGCAGAUGUCCUCAUGAAAAAUUUACAGGGAAUAAUCAGAGGCCCCUGCUCUUCCCCCUCCGGGCGAAGUCCCCCCUCGGCGUGUUGCCCAGGCCCCUGCAAGAAUAUUGGAAAAUGCCCCCAUCAGGCUGAAGCAAAUCUGGCUCUGGGGGGCUCAUGCAGGGCGUUUAAUGCACUUGGCUGUCCUCGGAGACUGGGUUGCAAAUGCAGUUCUGGCGAAAUUGAUGAAGUAUCAGUUAAUCUGAGGCUGACAGUCUGGAGAGGUCACAGCUGCGAGGGGCGGCCAGGGUCUCCCAGAGAGGGGACGGAGAAGAGUUAAAGGGACAGACAGAGCCCAGUGGGAAGGAAGCUCAUCUUCGCCACGUGGGCACCCCCAAACCUUUGCCAUCACCAGGUCUCUGACCCUCCCCCACAAUAAGCAGUUCCAAUCAGGACCACGACACAGCCCCUUCUUCCAAACCGCCUCUCGGAUGUUCCCUCUGCUUGGGAGGGAGGGUGUUGAGCGCUGCUGUUCCCAAUUGAAACAGGCAGUUAGCUCUCCUAAUGCAAAUUUCCUUUUUUAAUUGGAGCUCUGAGUCAUGUCUGCCGGGCCCUGCGUUUCCUGCUACAGGAAGGUUUGUCUAGGUAAAUGGCAGAGCCACAGAUGGUGGGCCAGGCACUGCUCAGAAGGAAUUUUCUGGGAGUGCUCUCGACUCUGCGGAAGGAGAUCAGAACAGAUACAAACCCACGUUUAUCCUGAGUUGUGGAAAUCUAGGACUGCAGGAGCUGGUUAUCCAUCACUCAGAGAUGUUGCAGUACAGCCUCCUCAAAGGCCUGGUACAUUACCGAGUGGCUCUUAGAUUCCAUUCGCCAUAAUUGGGCUUUAUGGGAUAUGAAGCAGCAAGGGUUUUGGAGCCGAACACCGUGGGUUGGAUCCUGGCUCCCCUGUGCUUAGAGACAGAUUUCGUCGUUAUCACCAUUUGCUUCUGGGGAAAAGAGGUGGCCAUGGACUUUCUAUGAUUAAAUGGUUGAGUAGAUCUCAGAGCUGGGAUCCUAACCUACUUUCUCACCCUUUUCCUUCUAUCCUUUUCUUUAACAACAAGACUAAAAGUACCACUAUUUUCAGUCAGUAAGAAAAAGGCUAUUAGCAAGAAUGCGAGUUCUCCAAAAUCACAUGGGGAACUUGUCCACAAAGAGAACAGCCUUUCUUGAGAGGCUUUGAGGUGCUGUAAGCAGAUCUCAGAUGAGUGUGGUCCACUUAGAGGCAAGGGGCCAGGGCUUGUGCUUCCUGUCCCCAGCAUGGCAUCUCACGUGCUCUGGGCUGUGCGGAAGGGGCAGUUUGGCAUCCGUCACGAUUACACAGGAUGCCUUGUUCUGAGAUGCUCAUGUCCCACCUCCUAACUCUGGAAGGCACCUUCCUGGACAUGCUAGGGGCAGCUCUGGAGGUGAUGCCCUGACACACACACUGUCCCCUCCUCAGAGUCCUGCCGGCCCUGCCUGGGGGCCAGGGCCUGAAACUGCUGUCAUGGAGAUGUUGCCUGGCCUUAAGGUGAUUUCAGGCAGAAAGGUAAAUCCAGUCCCUCUGACUCCUUGGCCAGAAACAGAAGUCUCAUGCAUUUUGAUUUAAUCAAGGAAAACCUCCUGGAACUCCAUUUCAUCAUUUACAUAUGGAACUAAACACACACACACACACACACACACACACACACACACACACACACACACCCUACAAACAUGCCUCCCCCCUACAAACCCUUUUUUAAAAAGAGUUUAUGUCAAACAUUUGAUACAUAUUAACAGCUUAUUAUUUGCCACAGGAUAGCUUAAGUGGUUCUCCACCUGAGAAAUUUUGCCUCUGGAAGAGACUUUGGAAAAGUUGGGAACAUUUGCGGUUGUCACAAGUGUGGGGCUUGGUGCUCCCGGCAUCUAGGCAUCUAGCGGGCAGGCACCAAGACACUGCUGAACACCCUCCAGGCCAUAACUCCCCUCCCCCCAUGCCAAAGACAUUAUUGUCCCAAACGCCAACUCAGAAACCUUUAUAUGGGUUCACAGUAAAGAGAAAAAAGGAGCAUAGUGCCUAAUAACUUAGAUGGAACAGGAGCAAGCACAAGAUUUAUGUGUCUUCCGUCCCAGAACAUCAGCCUGAGGGUGGAAGAUGGAAUUCAGUCUGGUCCUCGAGCUGAUUUUUCCUUCCCGACAUUUUGGAAAAAACUUGUUUGGCCUCAGUUUCCUUGUCUGUAAAAGAAAUAGUUGGACUCCGUAAAUUAUCAGUCAGAACUCAGAGGUGCUAUGUGGCAGCUCACAAAUAAAGGGAGGAAAAGGAGACAGAAAUUAAUAUUCAGGCAGAGCUUCAGUGUCGGGGACCCUGUGGGGUUGGACUCUGGUGUUGAGGUGGCAACCCCUUUGCUAAGGAGACAGGCCAGCCAGUCCCCUUCUUUCUUAGUCCCUGAAUCAGAUCCCAGGGCCCAGAGCCCCCUUCUCACCGGUGAAGAACCUGGGAGGCAGAAGGUACAAAUGAUUAAAGAAGAUGUUUCAUGGGGAUGCUGUUGUCGUCAGAGCCGAGACUUCUCUCCUGCACUGCCACUGCACCCCUGUCUCCUCUAGGCUUGAAUGCUUAGCUGCAGGAAAGCAAGAAAGAACCUGAGAAUGACAUCUCCAAGCACAUUUCUAAAUGUUGAAGCCAGAAUGUGUAGAUGUUGGUAUGUUAGGUACUUUUUUCUGAUCCUGUAACAAAGGUAUCAGUGCAGCUACUGGGAGCCAUGUGCUGGUCUCCCUGGCAGGAGAACUGAACCUCACUCCAGUGUGAGAAGCAGCCUUCUCUGUCGGCUCUGUUGCUGUAAGCAUCACAUGAGACUCCAGCUAAAGUACAAAACUGGAGCUUCUGUUGUGGCUCAGCAGAAACAAUAUGACUAGUAACCAUGAGGAGGUAGGUUCCAUCCCUGGCCUUGGUCAGUGGGUUAAAGAUCCAGCGGCAACGUGAGCUGUGGUGUAGGUCGCAGAUGCAGACUGGAUCCCAAGUUGCUAUGGCUGUGGUGUAGGCCAGCAGCUACAGCUCCGAUUCAACCCUUAGCCCGGGAACCUCCAUAUGCC
RNAcentral lists this long non-coding RNA (3275 nucleotides) under Sus scrofa (pig). Its description in RNAcentral is "lncRNA (ENSSSCG00000058398.1, ENSSSCG00110000595.1)". The record is from RNAcentral. Lineage: Eukaryota; Metazoa; Chordata; Mammalia; Artiodactyla; Suidae.